GUGGGGAAUCUUAGACAAUGGGGGAAACCCUGAUCUAGCCAUGCCGCGUGAUCGAUGAAGGCCUUAGGGUUGUAAAGAUCUUUCAGCUGGGAAGAUAAUGACGGUACCAGCAGAAGAAGCCCCGGCUAACUCCGUGCCAGCAGCCGCGGUAAUACGGCGGGGGCUAGCGUUGUUCGGAAUUACUGGGCGUAAAGCGCACGUAGGCGGAUUGGAAAGUUGGGGGUGAAAUCCCGGGGCUCAACCCCGGAACUGCCUUCAAAACUCCCAGUCGUGAGGUCGAGAGGGGUGAGUGGAAUGCCGAGUGUAGAGGUGCAAGUCGUAGAUACUCGGAGGAACACGAGUGGCGAAGGCGGCUCACUGGCUCUCUACUGACGCUGAGGUGCGAAAGCGUGGGGAGCAAACAGGAUUAGAAACUCCUGUAGUCC
Molecule: ribosomal RNA, 425 nt
Filed under: uncultured bacterium
Lineage: Bacteria
Description: partial 16S ribosomal RNA
Rfam family: Bacterial small subunit ribosomal RNA
Source: RNAcentral